RNAcentral lists this long non-coding RNA (267 nucleotides) under Rosa chinensis. Its description in RNAcentral is "sRNA RchiOBHm_Chr6g0286001". The record is from RNAcentral. Lineage: Eukaryota; Viridiplantae; Streptophyta; Magnoliopsida; Rosales; Rosaceae.
UUCACCAACACUAGUGUUGAUCUGCAAAACAGAACAGAAACUGCAAUAAGAAACAAAAAACAGAAACUGCAAACAUAAACAAAAUACAAAAACUGCAAUAAGAGACAAAGAAUAGAAACUGCAGUUUUAGUGCGCAAAACUCAAACAUAAGCAAAAACAAAAGGCAGAAACUGCAAUAAUGCCAGCACAAAACAGAAAAACAAACUGCAGAGAUUUAGAUUGGUACCUAAGAUGAAGAAAUUGCCUCUUCAUAAUGUUUGCUACUGA